CGAUUUCGGUCAAAUCUUGAAGCAUUUUAGUGGCGGACGGGUGAGUAACGCGUGGGUAACCUGCCCUGUACAGGGGGACGACAGUUGGAAACGGCUGCUAAUACCGCAUAAGCGCACAGCAUCGCAUGAUGCAGUGUGAAAAACUCCGGUGGUAUAAGAUGGACCCGCGUUGGAUUAGCUGGUUGGUGGGGUAACGGCCUACCAAGGCGACGAUCCAUAGCCGGCCUGAGAGGGUGAACGGCCACAUUGGGACUGAGACACGGCCCAGACUCC
This 273-nucleotide ribosomal RNA is filed under the name uncultured Eubacteriales bacterium. Its description in RNAcentral is "uncultured Clostridiales bacterium partial 16S ribosomal RNA". It matches the Rfam family "Bacterial small subunit ribosomal RNA", at positions 67 to 339 of the family's 1533-position model. Lineage: Bacteria; Bacillati; Bacillota; Clostridia; Eubacteriales. The record is from RNAcentral.